RNAcentral lists this ribosomal RNA (509 nucleotides) under uncultured prokaryote. RNAcentral describes it as "bacterial SSU rRNA". It matches the Rfam family "Bacterial small subunit ribosomal RNA", at positions 788 to 1299 of the family's 1533-position model. The record is from RNAcentral.
UGGUAGUCCACGCCGUAAACGAUGAUCACUCGUUGUGUGCGAUAAAAUGUACGUGACUGAGAGAAAUCAUUAAGUGAUCCACCUGGGGAGUACGUCAGCAAUGAUGAAACUCAAAGGAAUUGACGGGGGCCCGCACAAGCGGAGGAACAUGUGGUUUAAUUCGAUGAUACGCGAGGAACCUUACCUGGGCUUAAAUGCUUUGCUCCCUCGGGAGUAGUUCACCGAAAGGUGACUUAAAAAUUGCAAGGUGCUGCAUGGUUGUCGUCAGCUCGUGCCGUGAGGUGUCGGGUUAAGUCCCAUAACGAGCGCAACCCCUAUCUUUAGUUGCCAUCAGGUAAUGCUGGGGACUCUAAAGAAACUGCCAUCGUAAGAUGUGAGGAAGGUGGGGAUGACGUCAAAUCAGCACGGCCCUUAUGUCCAGGGCUACACACGUGUUACAAUGGCGAGUACAAAGGGGCAGCUACCAGCGACUGGGAUGCUAAUCUCUAAAACUUGUCUCAGUUCGGAUU